CUUGAAUAUCUAUAAGAGGUCCAGCCUGCCCAGUGACUCUGUUCAACGGCCGCGGUAUCCUAACCGUGCGAAGGUAGCGUAAUCACUUGUUCUUUAAAUGAGGACUAGUAUGAAUGGCACCACGAGGGUUAUACUGUCUCCUUUUUCUAAUCAGUGAAACUAAUCUCCCCGUGAAGAAGCGGGGAUUAAAAUAUAAGACGAGAAGACCCUAUGGAGCUUUAAACUUAAUAACAAGUACUAUCUUUUAUUUAACUUUCAGAACAUAUACCUUUAUUCUAGUAUUAUGAUUAUUAGUUUUAGGUUGGGGUGACCGCGGAGCAAAAAUUAACCUCCACAUUGAACGGAACUCAUUCCUGAGCAAAAAGCCACGACUUUAAGCACCAACAAAUUGACAUCAAUUGACCCAAUAUUUUGAUCAACGAAC
This 424-nucleotide ribosomal RNA is filed under the name Trachycephalus cunauaru group sp. ABGD cluster 17. RNAcentral describes it as "partial large subunit ribosomal RNA". It matches the Rfam family "Bacterial large subunit ribosomal RNA", at positions 1834 to 2439 of the family's 2925-position model. Lineage: Eukaryota; Metazoa; Chordata; Amphibia; Anura; Hylidae. The record is from RNAcentral.